CAAUUUCGAGUGCAAGUGCCACAGUGUCAGCUAAAGAAACACAACUGCGGGUUUUCUGCAGAGCGAAAUGGUUCUGAAAUGUCACUGAAUAGCUCACAAAGGACGCCAAUCUACGACAACAGAGGCAUAAGCAUAUAGGAGAAAGGGCCCACACAUCCUCCUUUCAAAGCUCACAUAAGGCUUACUUCAGGUCAGGAAAUGUCUUCUGUCUCCAAAGCACCUCACAGGAUGUGGAGAAAAGAGAGAGAAAAGGAGAGAAGAGUCAUGGACCCUACUUUAUGGUUGCCAUGGAGGCAAGGUCAGCCUUCCACACUUGGAUCUACCAGCAGAGUUCAGACAGGUCAACGUGUGACCGGCUCAGGCCCUGGGGUUAAAAGUUCAAGCAGCGAUGGAAAAACCAAUAUGUCCACACAGAGUAUGCUGUACAAUUUAUUUCAAUUUACAUCAAGCCAUGCAUAUAAAAUUUAGAUAAAUUCCAUUCAAAUCUGAUGUUGCCUGACACACAAUGUAUGCAAACAGAUGUCUGUGGGGCUUUUUCUGUGCUUUAGAAAACAACAUUAAAUUUAAAAAUAUGUCUCUGGGAUUUCUUUAUUGAAUUACAAAAUGAACAUAAUUUUAACUUAAAUGUUUUCAUUCUUUCUUCCAAUUUUUUUUGUGGGGAUCUUAAUAAUUUCUCAGUUCUCAAUCUACUCUAUGUCAUAUUAAAAAGGAUAAUGUAUAUUUACAA
Non-coding RNA from Miniopterus natalensis, 727 nucleotides. The record is from RefSeq and is a predicted model, not a curated record. NCBI's taxonomy places the organism in Eukaryota, Metazoa, Chordata, Mammalia, Chiroptera, Miniopteridae.